Molecule: ribosomal RNA, 253 nt
Filed under: uncultured bacterium
Lineage: Bacteria
Description: partial 16S ribosomal RNA
Rfam family: Bacterial small subunit ribosomal RNA
Source: RNAcentral
UACGUAGGGUGCAAGCGUUGUCCGGAAUUAUUGGGCGUAAAGAGCUCGUAGGCGGUCUGUCGCGUCGGAUGUGAAAAUCCAGGGCUCAACCCUGGACCUGCAUUCGAUACGGGCAGACUAGAGUUCGGCAGGGGGGACUGGAAUUCCUGGUGUAGCGGUGAAAUGCGCAGAUAUCAGGAGGAACACCGGUGGCGAAGGCGGGUCUCUGGGCCGAUACUGACGCUGAGGAGCGAAAGCGUGGGGAGCGAACAGG